RNAcentral lists this ribosomal RNA (253 nucleotides) under uncultured bacterium. RNAcentral's name for it is "partial 16S ribosomal RNA". It matches the Rfam family "Bacterial small subunit ribosomal RNA", at positions 524 to 776 of the family's 1533-position model. The record is from RNAcentral.
GACAGAGGGUGCAAACGUUGUUCGGAAUUACUGGGCGUAAAGCGCGUGUAGGCGGCUAUGUAAGUCGGGCGUGAAAUCCCACGGCUCAACCGUGGAAGUGCACCCGAAACUGCGUAGCUAGAGUCCUGGAGAGGAAGGUGGAAUGCUUGGUGCAGAGGUGAAAUUCGUAGAUAUCAAGCGGAACACCGGUGGCGAAGGCGGCCUUCUGGACAGUGACUGACGCUGAGACGCGAAAGCCAGGGGAGCAAACGGG